Theropithecus gelada (gelada) is the source of this 81-nucleotide unclassified non-coding RNA. It matches the Rfam family "Y RNA". Rfam says of the family: Y RNAs are components of the Ro ribonucleoprotein particle (Ro RNP), in association with Ro60 and La proteins. The record is from Ensembl. NCBI's taxonomy places the organism in Eukaryota, Metazoa, Chordata, Mammalia, Primates, Cercopithecidae.
GGCUGGGAUUACGGGCGUGAGCCACCGCGCCUGGUCUACUCUUUUUCCCUGCUUCUCACUACUACACUUAACUAGUCUUAA